UGGGAGACCCCAACUGUCACUGGAAACCCAGCUCUCACGCCAAACUCCAGACUCCAACCGGCCACCCUGGUGUCUGCGAGCCUGUUGGAUCCAGCGCAUGCGCAGCGCAAAACUUCCACUGUUGAAGACGCCUGCCCAGCUAGCCAGCUCAGACAAGACCUGCUGUCAACAUUAAACCUUUCAAGGAGCUGGCUCGUACAAGACCUGUCAACAUUAACUCUUUCAGCCAGGAAGCUCAUACAAGACCUGUCAACAUUAACUCUUUCAGAGAAGAGGCGUGUCCAUUUACCUUUGGAACAGAUGAGAUCAAAAGUUCAUUCAAAAGGGAGUCAAAUUAAGUCAUAAUAUUAUGUCCUCCACCCCCCCCCCUCCCAACCUCGUCCGCUCUUAUAGGAUUAGGCAUCUGUAUUAGUUGCAAAAUUAGUAAUCACAUGCAGCUGUGUACAAUUUUUAAAAAAAUCCUCAUUGAAUUAAAAGAAAGAAAUAUCUGUGAACAAGUUUGGAAGACGACAUAAGUUCAGAUAAGAGAUACAAAUUAAUAAGAUAAGAUAAUACUUUAUAGUUCCAGUGCGAAUUUUUCUUGGCAAUACAGGAACGUGAAAAAACAUACAUAUACGUCUGCCAUCAGUGAAAAUGUUAACAUUUCAUGUGUUAUAAAUAAAGAGCUGUAUUUAUUGAUUAUUUA
Molecule: long non-coding RNA, 685 nt
Organism: Aplysia californica (California sea hare)
Lineage: Eukaryota; Metazoa; Mollusca; Gastropoda; Aplysiida; Aplysiidae
Exons: 2
Source: RefSeq, a predicted model, not a curated record